UACGUAGGGUGCAAGCGUUGUCCGGAAUUAUUGGGCGUAAAGAGCUCGUAGGCGGUUUGUUGCGUCGGCUGUGAAAACCUGAGGCUCAACCUCAGGCCUGCAGUCGAUACGAGCAGACUAGAGUGUUGCAGGGGAGACUGGAAUUCCUGGUGUAGCGGUGAAAUGCGCAGAUAUCAGGAAGAACACCAAUGGCGAAAGCAGCUCUCUGGGACGGUACUGACGCUGAGACGCGAAAGCGUGGGGAGCGAACAGG
Molecule: ribosomal RNA, 253 nt
Filed under: uncultured bacterium
Lineage: Bacteria
Description: partial 16S ribosomal RNA
Rfam family: Bacterial small subunit ribosomal RNA
Source: RNAcentral